Molecule: ribosomal RNA, 443 nt
Filed under: uncultured bacterium
Lineage: Bacteria
Description: partial 16S ribosomal RNA
Rfam family: Bacterial small subunit ribosomal RNA
Source: RNAcentral
CCUACGGGUGACAGCAGUGGGGAAUAUUGGGCAAUGGGCGCAAGCCUGACCCAGCAACGCCGCGUGAAGGAAGAAGGCUUUCGGGUUGUAAACUUCUUUUGUCAGGGACGAAGCCAGUGACGGUACCUUACGAAUCCGCCACGGCUAACUACGUGGCAGCAGCCGCAGUACUAAGGAGGUAGCAAGCGUUAUCCGGAUUUAAUGGGUGUAAAGUGCGUGUAGGCGGGGAGGCAAGUCAAAUGUGAAAACCACGGGCUCAACCUGGGGCCUGCAUUUGAAACUGUGUUUCUUGAGUGCUGGAGAGGCAAGCGGAAGUCCGUGUGUAGCGGUGAAAUGCGUAGAUAUACGGAGGAACACCAGUGGCGAAGGCGGAUUGCUGGACAGUAACUGACGCUGAGGCGCGAAAGCGUGGGGAGCAAACAGGAUUAGAUACCCGAGUAGUC